This 18-nucleotide microRNA is filed under the name Ornithorhynchus anatinus (platypus). Its description in RNAcentral is "oan-miR-1399". The record is from miRBase by way of RNAcentral. Lineage: Eukaryota; Metazoa; Chordata; Mammalia; Monotremata; Ornithorhynchidae.
UGAAUAGAUGUGAUUUGG